AGAGAUGCUUUGGUGCCUUCGGGAACUCUGAGACAGGUGCUGCAUGGCUGUCGUCAGCUCGUGUUGUGAAAUGUUGGGUUAAGUCCCGCAACGAGCGCAACCCUUAUCCUUUGUUGCCAGCGGUCCGGCCGGGAACUCAAAGGAGACUGCCAGUGAUAAACUGGAGGAAGGUGGGGAUGACGUCAAGUCAUCAUGGCCCUUACGAGUAGGGCUACACACGUGCUACAAUGGCGCAUACAAAGAGAAGCGACCUCGCGAGAGCAAGCGGACCUCAUAAAGUGCGUCGUAGUCCGGAUUGGAGUCUGCAACUCGACUCCAUGAAGUCGGAAUCGCUAGUAAUCGUAGAUCAGAAUGCUACGGUGAAUACGUUCCCGGGCCUUGUACACACCGCCCGUCACACCAUGGGAGUGGGUUGCAAAAGAAGUAGGUAGCUUAACCUUCGGGAGGGCGCUUACCACUUUGUGAUUCAUGACUGGGGUGAAGUCGUAACAAGGUAGGCGUAGCGAG
This 507-nucleotide ribosomal RNA is filed under the name uncultured bacterium. RNAcentral describes it as "bacterial SSU rRNA". It matches the Rfam family "Bacterial small subunit ribosomal RNA", at positions 1002 to 1509 of the family's 1533-position model. The record is from RNAcentral.